RNAcentral lists this ribosomal RNA (268 nucleotides) under uncultured archaeon. RNAcentral's name for it is "partial 16S ribosomal RNA". It matches the Rfam family "Archaeal small subunit ribosomal RNA", at positions 717 to 982 of the family's 1478-position model. The record is from RNAcentral.
ACACGACUACAUUACGAUACCCCCGUAGUCCUAGCCGUAAACGAUACUCGCUAGGUGUCGGCCACGGUGCGACCGUUGUCGGUGCCGUAGGGAAGCCGUGGAGCGAGCCACCUGGGAAGUACGGCCGCAAGGCUGAAACUUAAAGGAAUUGGCGGGGGAGCACAACAACGGGUGGAGCUUGCGGUUUAAUUGGAUUCAACGCCGGAAAUCUUACCGGGACCGACAGCAACAUGAAGGCCAAGCCUGAAGACUUUGCCGGAUUUAGCUG